Ictalurus punctatus (channel catfish) is the source of this 365-nucleotide long non-coding RNA. The record is from Ensembl. NCBI's taxonomy places the organism in Eukaryota, Metazoa, Chordata, Actinopteri, Siluriformes, Ictaluridae.
GUAUGAUUGUGUUUGAUGGUAUGAGGUGGCGUAUGAUUGUGUUUGAUGGUGUGAGGUGGCGUAUGAUUGUGUUUGACGGUGUGUGGUGGUGUUUGAUGGUAUGAGGUGGCGUAUGAUUGUGUUUGAUGGUAUGAGGUGGCGUAUGAUUGUGUUUGAUGGUAUGAGGUGGCGUAUGAUUGUGUUUGAUGGUAUGAGGUGGCGUAUGAUUGUGUUUGAUUGUGUGAGGUGGCGUAUGAUUGUGUUUGAUGGUGUGUGGUGGUGUUUGAUGGUAUGAGGUGGCGUAUGAUUGUGUUUGAUGGUAUGAGGUGGCGUAUGAUUGUGUUUGAUGGUAUGAGGUGGCGUAUGAUUGUGUUUGAUUGUGUGAG